GCCGGACGUGGUGGCGCAUGCCUGUAAUCCCAGCUACUCGGGAGGCUGAGGCAGGAGAAUCGCUUGAACCCUGGGGGCGGAGGUUGUGGUGAGCCCGAGAUCGUGCCAUUGCACCACUCCAGCCUGGGCAACAAGAGUGGAACUCUGUCUCGAAAAAAAAGAAUGCAAAGGCAAAAAUGACUCUUUUUUUUUUUUUUUUGAGACAGAGUCUUGCCCUGUUGCCCAGGCUGGAGUGCAGUGGCAUGAUCUCGGCUCGCCACAACCUCUGCCUCCUGGGUUUAAGUGAUUCUCCUGCCUCAG
This 300-nucleotide signal recognition particle RNA is filed under the name Chlorocebus sabaeus (green monkey). RNAcentral describes it as "Metazoan signal recognition particle RNA". It matches the Rfam family "Metazoan signal recognition particle RNA". From Rfam's summary of the family: The signal recognition particle (SRP) is a universally conserved ribonucleoprotein. It is involved in the co-translational targeting of proteins to membranes. The record is from Rfam by way of RNAcentral. Lineage: Eukaryota; Metazoa; Chordata; Mammalia; Primates; Cercopithecidae.